Molecule: long non-coding RNA, 440 nt
Organism: Homarus americanus (American lobster)
Lineage: Eukaryota; Metazoa; Arthropoda; Malacostraca; Decapoda; Nephropidae
Exons: 3
Source: RefSeq, a predicted model, not a curated record
GAAGAGGAUGAACCACAACUCAAGGGUGCACAAAUCAUCCUCAGGAACAUCCUCACCAGGAAACUGUAUCUCUAUGUUGGCCACACACAACCCACUGCAGCCAAAGAGAGAUUAAGAUUGAUAAAGCUGAUCUGCUUGAGGCUCUAUAUAAAAAAAUUCCUAAAAAUAGUACAUUAAAGGAAGGUGAUCUAAGUGUCCAAGAAGUCACACUUAACUAUGGUAUGGGGGAUGAAAACCCAAUAGAACAUGCCCGUUUCUACAGCAAGAGGUCACCCAAUGUUGCCAAAGCUAUGCAGAAAGAAGUUGUUUCUGUGUUGCUUCCCUAUAGAUGACACCUUGGAUGUACCCUAGAAUGUCUAUGGGUAGUUUUGAAUUUGCUGGUAUUCUCGUGGCCAGGACAGGGAGCCAUUCGUUCUAGAGACAGUAACUUCCUUUACCUG